AGCAGCAUGGCGCAGUGGAAGCGCGCGGGGCUCAUAACCCCGAGGUCACUUGAUCGAGACAAGUUGCUGCUA
Molecule: transfer RNA, 72 nt
Filed under: Amanita muscaria Koide BX008
Lineage: Eukaryota; Fungi; Basidiomycota; Agaricomycetes; Agaricales; Amanitaceae
Rfam family: tRNA
About the family: Transfer RNA (tRNA) molecules are approximately 80 nucleotides in length. Their secondary structure includes four short double-helical elements and three loops (D, anti-codon, and T loops).
Source: Rfam by way of RNAcentral